Raphanus sativus (radish) is the source of this 371-nucleotide long non-coding RNA. RefSeq lists it as uncharacterized. The record is from RefSeq and is a predicted model, not a curated record. The transcript is spliced from 3 exons. Lineage: Eukaryota; Viridiplantae; Streptophyta; Magnoliopsida; Brassicales; Brassicaceae.
UAAAUCUGUUAUUCUCCAGCUGGAUAGAUCCGCUUGUAAUGAUAACACUGUUAGCGAAUCAUCAUUCACAGCAGGUGAAAAAUUGUGCGAGGUGGUAAAGGUUUUUGUGCUUCUUCAUCAACUCAAGAUCUUCUCGCUUGGUAGGCCCUUGCCAGAUCAGCCUCCUAUCCAUCCUCCUACCGAUAGAUCUGAAACGUCUCGUGCCACAACUACUGGUUUGGAUCUUACAGUUCCCAGACCUGGCACCGAAGUGAAGCUAGGUUAGUACGUGAUGCUCUUAAUUCUUGCAUUUCCAUGAUCGAUUCUCAUGUCUCUCAGUUUGAUUGAUUUGUAUUAUCUAUAAUUAGUUGAAAAUUCCCGGUGCAGUUGAU